AUGAAAUUUAUAAAAGUUUUCUUUGACUAUUUCUUUUGUGUUUUGUUUCCCAGGUCAGCAUGGAAGCUUCUUGUGGAAGAGAUAGAAUGUUCUAUUUUUUGGACACUGUUUCACAGUAUCUUUACACUGCUUGAGGCUGCUGUGGCACUCAACAAAUGGUUUUGGCCAACUGACUCACUUCUGCUCAGAUCAAGGAACAUAGAAGAAGUUUAAUAAGUGGUUCCUAUGGAGACACUGAUGCUUCAUCUCCCCAGUUACCUCCAUGUUCAAUUGCUUAUGGUCUGUCGCAACUUGACAGGUAGGUUUAAGUCUAUGUUCAAGUUUCAAAUAGCAUUGAAGUCCCAAAAUCUUCUGCAGAAUCAGAGUUCCAAGAUAUAUUAUGGUAACUACUCUUAGUUGCCACAACAAAUAAAACCUUGAAAUCUCCCGGGCUUACCA
RNAcentral lists this long non-coding RNA (438 nucleotides) under Felis catus (domestic cat). Its description in RNAcentral is "lncRNA (ENSFCAG00000045540.2)". Lineage: Eukaryota; Metazoa; Chordata; Mammalia; Carnivora; Felidae. The record is from RNAcentral.